AGAAGUAAAAAAUAAAAUUUUAAAAAAAUAUAAAACAAUUACAUACUAAUACUAUUAUACUAAAGACUACACAGUAAAAUUCUAAACACCGAUAUAUGUUCUGUCUUCUGUGCCCUAGACCCAAAAUUCCCAAAUCCUAUGUUCCUUCGCCGAUUGCCCAAGGCGAUUCCUCUCCCAGAUGCGACUACAAGCUCAGCGACAGCAACUCUUCACCAAAUUUUUCGUCUCUCCGGUGUCUACUACAGCGACUCCACCAAGUAUGAAGACUCGGUUCAUGAUACUCAUCAUACUUUAGAUGACUUGUAACUUUUAAGUUUCCAUUUCAUGCAAAUGUUAGCAUGAAAUGUCAUUUUGUAGCCUUAUAUGUCUAAACUUGUAUCUUUGAUUCCAUAUAUGUAAUGUGUACAUAAGUACACCUUUUACGAUGUAUUUGACUUGUGUGAGAUAAAGCCGGAGGCCAAUAACAUUUAUAUUGUAUCUUAUGUAAUUCUUGAUUUCAUGAAAUGUUAUAAAAAUAUUGAAAAA
Molecule: long non-coding RNA, 525 nt
Organism: Cornus florida
Lineage: Eukaryota; Viridiplantae; Streptophyta; Magnoliopsida; Cornales; Cornaceae
Exons: 2
Source: RefSeq, a predicted model, not a curated record